GAUAGGCUCAGGACGAACGCUGGCGGCGUGCCUAAUACAUGCAAGUCGAGCGAAGUUUUUCUGGUGCUUGCACUAGAAAAACUUAGCGGCGAACGGGCGAGUAACACGUAAAGAACCUGCCUCAUAGACGGGGACAACUAUUGGAAACGAUAGCUAAUACCGGAUAACAGCAUAAAUCGCAUGAUAUAUGUUUAAAAGUUGGUUUCGGCUAACACUAUGAGAUGGCUUUGCGGUGCAUUAG
This 241-nucleotide ribosomal RNA is filed under the name uncultured bacterium. RNAcentral's name for it is "partial 16S ribosomal RNA". It matches the Rfam family "Bacterial small subunit ribosomal RNA", at positions 15 to 244 of the family's 1533-position model. The record is from RNAcentral.